Molecule: ribosomal RNA, 253 nt
Filed under: uncultured bacterium
Lineage: Bacteria
Description: partial 16S ribosomal RNA
Rfam family: Bacterial small subunit ribosomal RNA
Source: RNAcentral
UACGGGGGGGGCAAGCGUUGUUCGGAAUUACUGGGCGUAAAGGGCUCGUAGGUGGCCAACUAAGUCAGACGUGAAAUCCCUCGGCUUAACCGGGGAACUGCGUCUGAUACUGGAUGGCUUGAGUUCGGGAGAGGGAUGCGGAAUUCCAGGUGUAGCGGUGAAAUGCGUAGAUAUCGGAAGGAACACCAGUGGCGAAAGCGGCUUCCUGGUCCAGCACCGACGUUCAGGCACGAAAGCGUGGGGAGCAAACAGG